GAUGAACGCUGGCGGCGUGCCUAAUACAUGCAAGUCGAGCGGACGGACGAUGAUCUUGCGUCUCUGAUGUUAGCGGCGGACGGGAGAGUAACACGUGGAUAACCUACCUAUAAUACUGGGAUAACUUCGGGAAACCGGAUCUAAUACCGGAUAAUAUUUUGAACCGCAGGGUUGAAAGGUGAAAGACGGUGUUGCUGUCACUUAUAGAUGGAUCCGCGCUGCAUUAGCUAGUAGUUAAGUUAACGGCUUACCAAGGCAACGAUGCAUAGCCGAACUGAGGGGGUGGUCGGCCACCUUGGAACUUGGACAGCGUCCAGACUACUACGAGAGGCAGCAGUCGGGAAUCUUCCGCAAUGGGCGAAAACCUGACGCAGCAACGCCGCGUGAGUGAUGAAGGUCUUCGGAUCGUAAAACUCUGUUAUUAGGGAAGAACAGAUGUGUAAGUAACUGUGCACAUCUUGACGGUACCUAAUCAGAAAGCCACGGCUAACUACGUG
This 497-nucleotide ribosomal RNA is filed under the name uncultured bacterium. RNAcentral describes it as "partial 16S ribosomal RNA". It matches the Rfam family "Bacterial small subunit ribosomal RNA", at positions 28 to 507 of the family's 1533-position model. The record is from RNAcentral.